This 810-nucleotide ribosomal RNA is filed under the name metagenome. RNAcentral describes it as "bacterial SSU rRNA". It matches the Rfam family "Bacterial small subunit ribosomal RNA", at positions 8 to 811 of the family's 1533-position model. The record is from RNAcentral.
AGAGUUUGAUCCUGGCUCAGAUUGAACGCUGGCGGCGUGCCUAACACAUGCAAGUCGAGCGGUAACAGGUGUAGCAAUACAUGCUGACGAGCGGCGAACGGGUGAGUAAUGCUUCGGAAUCUACCCUAUGGUGGGGAAUAACCAGCCGAAAGGUUGGCUAAUACCGCAUACGUCCUACGGGAGAAAGCAGGGGAUCGUAAGACCUUGCACCGAUGGAUGAGCCGAAGCCGGAUUAGCUAGUUGGUAGGGUAACGGCCUACCAAGGCGACGAUCCGUAGCUGGUCUGAGAGGACGACCAGCCACACUGGAACUGAGACACGGUCCAGACUCCUACGGGAGGCAGCAGUGGGGAAUAUUGGACAAUGGGGGAAACCCUGAUCCAGCGACGCCGCGUGUGUGAAGAAGGCCUGCGGGUUGUAAAGCACUUUUAGUGGGGAUGAAAUGUGCAGGGUUAAUACCUCUGCAUUUUGACCUAACCCACAGAAAAAGCACCGGCUAACUCUGUGCCAGCAGCCGCGGUAAUACAGAGGGUGCAAGCGUUAAUCGGAAUUACUGGGCGUAAAGCGUGCGUAGACGGUUAUGUAAGUCGGGUGUGAAAGCCCCGGGCUCAACCUGGGAAUGCCAUUCGAGACUGCAUAGCUAGGGUGCGGAAGAGGGAAGCGGAAUUUCCGGUGUAGCGGUGAAAUGCGUAGAUAUCGGAAGGAACACCAGUGGCGAAAGCGGCUUCCUGGUCCAGCACCGACGUUCAGGCACGAAAGCGUGGGGAGCAAACAGGAUUAGAUACCCUGGUAGUCCACGCCAUAAACGAUG